RNAcentral lists this long non-coding RNA (743 nucleotides) under Capra hircus (goat). RNAcentral describes it as "lncRNA (ENSCHIG00000000789.1)". Lineage: Eukaryota; Metazoa; Chordata; Mammalia; Artiodactyla; Bovidae. The record is from RNAcentral.
UCUUGAUUGACGUUUACAUUGGCUAACAAAAUCUUUCACUUCUACCACGCUGGAAUUUCAUAAAAAGAAAUGACAAAAUAUUUCCAAUUUUAUUAUCCUUUAAAAUGAAUUAUUUUUGCCUGUUUGACCUGUUAAGCCGAAUUUUCAGUUUCCCACAAGUGUUUUUUUUUUUUUUUCUUUCUUUCCAGUUUCAGUGCUGCUGCUGCUGCUGCUGCUGCGUCGCUACAGUUGUGUCCGACUCUGUGCGACCCCAUAGAUGGCUACAGAUGGAGAAUUUAGGCUUGGAAAAGAGGGCAGUUUUCAAUUUAGCUACGUUCAGCAACCUACAAAUCAGUCUGCAAGGCACUGUGAGGAAGACAGCUUUCAGACCUCGGCUAUAUUGCAGGUGAUCCUGCCAAGAACCGUGAAGUACAGAUGCUCUGAAACCUUUGAUGAGAACAACAUCAAAAGUGAGUUUCUCUUUGAGCAAGAUACUUGAAAGCGAAAACUUAGCUGAUGGCAUCAUGUCACAGAGUUCUUUUUAAAUAAUAAAAAGAAAUUAGGCCAGGGCAAUAUUCAUUUCCUCAUUGCAUGAAAUUAGAUCUCAACUAAGAAUAGAUGCAUGACAGAGAAAUAAUCUGUACAUUCUUGUAAACUUGAAAAAUCGCAAAAUAAAACAGCCACAAAACACUCCCAUUUCUAUAGAUUUUUGUUGUUUUUGUUAUUGUUGUUUAGUUGCUAAGUCACGUCCUACUCUUUUUGAC